GAUGAACGCUGGCGGCGUGCCUAAUACAUGCAAGUCGAGCGAACAGACGAGGAGCUUGCUCCUCUGACGUUAGCGGCGGACGGGUGAGUAACACGUGGAUAACCUACCUAUAAGACUGGGAUAACUUCGGGAAACCGGAGCUAAUACCGGAUAAUAUAUUGAACCGCAUGGUUCAAUAGUGAAAGACGGUUUUGCUGUCACUUAUAGAUGGAUCCGCGCCGCAUUAGCUAGUUGGUCAGGUAACGGCUUACCAAGGCGACGCUGCGUAGCCGACCUGAGAGGGUGAUCGGCCACACUGGAACUGAGACACGGUCCAGACUCCUACGGGAGGCAGCAGUAGGGAAUGUUCCGCAAUGGACGAAGGCCUGACGGAGCAACGCCGCGUGAGUGAGGAAGGUCUUCGGAUCGUAAAACUCUGUUAUUAGCGAAGAAAAAAUGUGUAAGUAACUGUGCACAUCUUGACGGUACCUGAUCAGAACACCACGGCUCACUACGUG
RNAcentral lists this ribosomal RNA (497 nucleotides) under uncultured bacterium. RNAcentral describes it as "partial 16S ribosomal RNA". It matches the Rfam family "Bacterial small subunit ribosomal RNA", at positions 28 to 507 of the family's 1533-position model. The record is from RNAcentral.